CAUUCGUAACUAUGAAAAGCAUGAUACUCUUGCCAGGAAUCUACUUAACACGAUCGUGACUAGCGACCUUUACUACUUGCGAAUAUAAAUUCAUAACGAUUAGAUGAAACAAACUUAUAUCCUAGCAUCAAAUUCAAGCAUGCAAAUUAAGCGUGCACUCUCAAUCAACAUACAAGAAUAAGUUCUAAAUCAAACAGUUAAGCGAAUUGUAUUCACGACUUAUGCAACGAUAACUGGAAGUAAUCAACUUAUUUCACAUAUAUAAUCAUGGUUUUGAAUCCACCCUUAGCCAAAACGAAUUUAGCCAAUCAUACUUAAAGCAAAACAAAGAUUACAUGAAUUAGACAUUGAAAUAUAAGAGAGAAAACACCUAAAAUCGUUCAACAACUCAGAUUGAAAAGCCAAACAAUUGUAGAGAAUCUGUCCCCUUUGUUGCUUGCGGCAGAUUGUAUGGUGAUGCUUCUUGGAUUGUUUUGAUGAUGUAGAAUGGAAUUUGGGGGUUGUAGAGGCAUGGCAAGGGUUGUAGGAUGAGUGUGGAUGAGUGGUGGAUGAGUGGAAAAUGGUGGAAAGCUCGGCAAGAAUGGUGGGAAGGUGCGGCAGAUUAUAGAACUAGGGUUUCUGGAAUUUUGAAUGAAUGUAGCAGGUUCUCCCCGGCCUAGAGGUUAAAACACAUAUAUAUAUGCACAACAAACCCUAGGGCAAACAGAUUAGGGCCUCCAAAACCCAAAUCCAUCAGAAAUUAGGUUAAACAAUUAGAAUUUAAGUGGGAAAAGGGCCUAGGGUGCGGCUGGUUACUAGGGUAAAAGAAUGGGCCUUCUAGAAUGCCUUGCAAGGCAAGGAAAUCAGAUUUCUAAAGCCUUAGGUGCGGCAAGGGUUAGGGGGGAAAGGCUAGGUCAUCUAAAAGCCCAAAGCCAAGAAUAGAAACUCUCGAAAAUGGAAACCUCCAAGAAUA
This 952-nucleotide long non-coding RNA is filed under the name Malus domestica (apple). RNAcentral describes it as "long non-coding RNA (MDOM_LNC019645)". Lineage: Eukaryota; Viridiplantae; Streptophyta; Magnoliopsida; Rosales; Rosaceae. The record is from RNAcentral.